GACGAACCGUGCGAACGUUGUUCGGAAUCACUGGGCUUAAAGGGCGCGUAGGCGGGUUCUCAAGUCUGUGGUGAAAUCCUCCAGCUUAACUGGAGAAGUGCCGUGGAUACUGGGGACCUCGAGGUGGGUAGGGGCAUCUGGAAUUCCUGGUGUAGCGGUGAAAUGCGCAGAUAUCAGGAGGAACACCGGUGGCGAAGGCGGUUCUCUGGGCCUUACCUGACGCUGAGGAGCGAAAGCGUGGGGAGCAAACAGG
This 253-nucleotide ribosomal RNA is filed under the name uncultured bacterium. Its description in RNAcentral is "partial 16S ribosomal RNA". It matches the Rfam family "Bacterial small subunit ribosomal RNA", at positions 524 to 776 of the family's 1533-position model. The record is from RNAcentral.